RNAcentral lists this long non-coding RNA (205 nucleotides) under Lathyrus oleraceus (garden pea). Its description in RNAcentral is "Pisum sativum (pea) long non-coding RNA (PSAT_LNC013678)". Lineage: Eukaryota; Viridiplantae; Streptophyta; Magnoliopsida; Fabales; Fabaceae. The record is from RNAcentral.
GAUAUAGAAGUUGGAAAGGACUUGUGGCACAAAGGAGUCCAUAUAUCAGAAAAAGACAGUUUCUUAGUUUUGGAAAAGAAUUGCAACAAGGUGUGAAAGCUGAAGUACCCCCAUAACAGGGGGAAUGAGGCGUCAAGCUAAGGGCGAUAAAUGAACUCUAGUUGGGAGGCAUCCCAAGGAAAGUAUUCGUAAUUUUUAUUUUUAG